This 521-nucleotide small RNA is filed under the name Pongo abelii (Sumatran orangutan). RNAcentral's name for it is "retained intron". Lineage: Eukaryota; Metazoa; Chordata; Mammalia; Primates; Hominidae. The record is from RNAcentral.
UUAUGAAGAUGCUUAUGACAAACUUUCUCCAGAAAAUGAGCCUGAUUUGAAAAAGCGGAUCCGUGUGCACUUGCUCAAUGCCCAUGGCCUGGAUGAAGCUGGCAUUGAUGGUGGUGGUAUUUUCAGAGAGUUUUUAAAUGAACUACUGAAGUCAGGAUUUAACCCCAACCAGGGGUUCUUUAAGACUACUAAUGAAGGGCUUCUGUACCCCAACCCGGCUGCUCAGAUGCUUGUGGGAGAUUCUUUUGCCAGACAUUACUACUUCCUAGGCAGAAUGCUUGGAAAGGCUCUCUAUGAGAACAUGCUGGUGGAGCUGCCCUUUGCGGGCUUCUUUCUUUCCAAGUUGCUUGGAACCAGUGCUGAUGUGGACAUUCACCACCUUGCCUCCCUAGACCCUGAGGUGUAUAAGAAUUUGCUCUUUCUGAAGAGCUACGAAGACGAUGUGGAGGAGCUUGGGCUGAACUUCACUGUGGUGAACAAUGACCUGGGAGAGGCGCAGGUGAGGGGUCAGGAGCAAGUAG